GCCGAGGUGGCGAAAUGGCAGACGCGCCAGCCUUAGGAGCUGGUGGGCGCAAGCCCGUGCAGGUUCAAGUCCUGUCCUCGGCA
Molecule: transfer RNA, 83 nt
Filed under: Candidatus Curtissbacteria bacterium
Lineage: Bacteria; Candidatus Curtissiibacteriota
Description: tRNA-Leu
Rfam family: tRNA
About the family: Transfer RNA (tRNA) molecules are approximately 80 nucleotides in length. Their secondary structure includes four short double-helical elements and three loops (D, anti-codon, and T loops). Further hydrogen bonds mediate the characteristic L-shaped molecular structure. tRNAs have two regions of fundamental functional importance: the anti-codon, which is responsible for specific mRNA codon recognition, and the 3' end, to which the tRNAs corresponding amino acid is attached (by aminoacyl-tRNA synthetases). tRNAs cope with the degeneracy of the genetic code in two manners: having more than one tRNA (with a specific anti-codon) for a particular amino acid; and 'wobble' base-pairing, i.e. permitting non-standard base-pairing at the 3rd anti-codon position.
Source: RNAcentral